Molecule: long non-coding RNA, 1641 nt
Filed under: Triticum aestivum (bread wheat)
Lineage: Eukaryota; Viridiplantae; Streptophyta; Magnoliopsida; Poales; Poaceae
Description: long non-coding RNA (TAES_LNC002016)
Source: RNAcentral
GCAACUUCUUCAAGCAUGGCAUAUCCAAAAAGAGAGAAUAUGCCCCAAUCAAACUAGGGCUGCCAUUAUGCUCCUCCAAAGCCCCUGUGUGUCCUCCAUGAGAAGUAGCCAGCAUCAUCGCUAUUUGUCACAUGCCCUCCGUCGUCACAUUGCUCAUCACUAUCGCCUCCCGACCUCACUCCACCAUGGCAUGGUGAUUCCAUCUGGGGUCGGUGGAGUAGGGAGGGGGCAGUUGCCAAUCCGCUUCAACUUCUGCAUUUCUCUGCCCAGUGUGCAAACUGUGGGUCGAUGGAGAGUUUUCUUCUAUAAUUUUCUUCCUUACUUCCUUUUUCUUUUUCUUUUUCCUUUUCUUCCUUUUUUAUUUUUUCCUUUUUCUUUUUCUUUUUUCCUUUUUGUGUGUGCUGCAAGAACACAGAAGAAUUAGACUUCCAGAGUAACUGUGACAUUGAAGCCAGAUGGACAUCAUUUUCCUUUGUGAAGAAAACACCAAUCAUAUUGCCACUUUGCCAGUACCUUCCAUGUUACAUCUGCUGACAAAUAUACCAAGUAAAAUUUAAGUAUUCCACACCAUUUGGCUAGGUAGAUACAUUGCAGCCUGAUAUUGAAGUGAACAAAAUAUUACCAGACUACAACACACAACAUACCGUGUGAAAGUGAAUGGGAUUGGCCUAAUUGGAUAUUCAUCGCAACAGUUCCUCAUUGAUGAGUCAACUACUCUACGGUGAAGAAGAGUUUGGUUCACUGCAGCUGAGAAACAACAGAAAGCAAGUUAUUAAGGAUACCACAACGAGAAGGAUAUCCCUGAUAAAUCAAUAUCUAAGUAUAAUCACGGGUGUGAACCUUACAGAUCAAGAAUAAUUCUGGCAUCAGAACAGAAGUGCUUGGAACAAUGACCCUGCAUCCACGUAGUACAUUUUCGUGUGGCUGUUGCAGUGGCAAAAGUCUGCUUGAACCAAACAAAGCUUGGGCCAACACUUCUCUUCCUAGGAGAAUGAUCUACAAAAUAAGGUAGUUUCAAUUAUUUCAUAUAUUUUUCAUUCAUGCAUCUUACUGGAGCUUUGAAAAUUGUAACUGCACAUACCUGUAUUAACCCCACUAUACCACAGUGCAGGGUGCAGGGUUCACACUUCAAUAAUCCAUCACAAAGCAGAGCUAUACCUUCAGACGUGCUCCUGUAUUUCUCCUAGUCUAAAUUUUUAAUCCAGCACAAGGGGGAGGUAUACCUUCAGACCUGCCCCUGUACUCCUCCCUCUCUAAAUUAGUGACACAACUAUCAGGAAACUAAUCCUAGUCAGUUAAUAUUUCUCUCUUGUCCUAAAAAAAGAAUCAUACAACCACCUUUCAUAAAGAUGUCACACAAAACUCACAUAAUGGAUUUAUAUUCUUUCCCUUAUUUAUUUUUUGUUUUCCUAUAUUCUUUUGCUGGGAGAUACGUCUGCCAUGUUGAUUUCCAAAUAUGUAACACAACUAUCAGGGAAACACACCUACACAAUUAUUUCUAACCUUUUACUGAAAGAACAUAAAACAACAGCACAAACACCUUUCAUAAAGUCACAAGACUACAACAUGUGCAAACAGCGAACGAAUGGAGAGCUUUACUCUCUCUUUUUUGAAUUUUUUUCUUUCUUUCUUUCCUUUUCC